CAGAGUUGCAAAACUCCCAAACCACCUGAAAACUUACCUGUAUUCUUUCUUCGGCAGGCGGCCCCAGGGCGGGGCCUGUAGCCGGCUUGGUCCGGUGCCUGCCGGGGGAUACAAAACUCGUUAUUUUUGGUGUUCUGAGUCUUUAUACAAACCAGUCA
Molecule: unclassified non-coding RNA, 158 nt
Filed under: uncultured fungus
Lineage: Eukaryota; Fungi
Also listed under: 1 other name
Description: sequence contains ITS1
Source: RNAcentral